RNAcentral lists this ribosomal RNA (207 nucleotides) under uncultured bacterium. RNAcentral's name for it is "partial 16S ribosomal RNA". It matches the Rfam family "Bacterial small subunit ribosomal RNA", at positions 568 to 774 of the family's 1533-position model. The record is from RNAcentral.
UGCGUAGGCGGGUUUCUAAGUCAGAGGUGAAAGCCUGGAGCUCAACUCCAGAACUGCCUUUGAUACUGGAAGUCUUGAGUAUGGCAGAGGUGAGUGGAACUGCGAGUGUAGAGGUGAGAUUCGUAGAUAUUCGCAAGAACACCAGUGGCGAAGGCGGCUCACUGGGCCAUUACUGACGCUGAGGCACGAAAGCGUGGGGAGCAAACA